CCACUUUGACAAUAUUUACUUAAGUAUUUUUCCCCCACCUCAUUCACACACAUGCUCCCCCACACUGGUUCCCUUAAAUAGUUCCAGUAGAAUUUUUUUUUAAUCCCCUCAAGAAAGGAAAGAGAAAGUCCAACCGCUACGGCAAUACUUUUAAGCUCUACUAAAUGAUCGUAUCCUUUCUGGCUUCGAAACUUUUGUACCUAAAAAUCGAGAGAGGCGCUGCAUUUUUUCAGCUGAAACUGUCAAAACUUGGAGAAGGGGAACCUCGGAGGCAGGCAGGAGAGGAGGAGAAUCCCGAAAACUCGGUGGAGGUUGGGAAGAUGCUGUGCCUCGAGGAUUAGUUUAAACAGGGGCUAUAAAAGAUGUAACAGAUGCAAACUGUAACACAAGGGCCAUUAACCCUUUCUCUGCCGAGCACACUCAGUCCCCACGCCCCGCACCUAUUGUCUCCUGUGCUAGAAGCUUUGCAGAAAACCUGGAAAGUGAGUAUCAGUUUCCAGACAUUCGCUGAGAGGGGAGGGGGGCAGAGAGAAGGGGAAGUGGAUGAUUUAGAAAGCACCUUGAAUUCAACCUAGGCAUAGGGAGUGACUUUUAUGUUUGACACGUUUUGUCAUUUCUUGGCGUUCUAUUGAUUUGAAAUGGUUGGGGAAAAUCCUGAAAUAAGGGAACGGUCACACAAGUGUCUGGGAUGAAACAGCUGGCCUGUCUGUAUUCAUGCUGAGACUUACACACGAUUGCAUAUAAAUACAUGUUUAAUAAAGUAAGCUGCUAGUUUUAUGAGCGUGUGUGUAUGUGAGAGAGAGAGAGAGAGAGAGAGAGAGAGAGAGGGCAUUUGUGCUGUAAACUUUAUCUUUGCCUGUUAUUUCUAACUCUGGAGUUAGUAAUCUUGCCUUCAUCAUUAUAGGGGGAGCAUGUAAAAUACAUAAGUAGGUGGGAGAUAAACACAUUCAUGUUAGCCGGGCUCAUCACUGUUCCUGGGAACUUCUGUUAUCUCUCUCGACUUUUCAGUGCCAAAGUAUGGAAUGGGAUAUGUGUGUGCAUGUGUCUCCUGCUAAAUCCAUGUCUAUAUUACUUUGCCAUUUAAAAUACAAUUUCAAAAGUUAUCCUUAAUUUUAAAACUCUGAUAUCCUGACAGCAGCUUUCUUCCCAGCUGUAGUGACCCCCCCCCCAACACACACACACUUUGGUAAACGACUCGAGUUCCAUGAGGACUUUCACUUCUUUAUUUAUCAUCACAGAAGUGAGGUGUUACUUCACAUACAUACACACACAAAGAAUAAAAUAAAGAAAUGAAACUCGCUAAGCAGACAAAAACAGGCAACUUUCUGCUUAGAAAACAGCCUUCUCGGGUGGGAGAGGAUGCACUGCCAUAUCUAAGAGAAAGACUUGCCCCUGAAUUUGGUAGGUUUGUAUCGAUCAAGUUUUGUAAUUAUUCACAGGUAUUUGCCAAGUUUUAAUUGCUGAAUACAAUGAAUUGGCACUAGAUGCAAAAAUAGAGCAGAAUCUCUCCCCUUGAAGAGUUUUCAUUCCACCAUAUAGUUCUCAAUAAAACUUUUCCUAGGCUGGGUAGCAAAAGGCACCUUUGGUUACCUGAAUGGACAGGUACAGGGCAAAUUAUUUGGGGGAGGAAAAAAGAAGAGAAAAGGAAAGAGAGAGUGCCGGAGAGCCAGAGAAAUCAAAGAAGUCACUCUUGGGAAAAGCUUGCCAUAAAGGAGCUAAACCCACCUGAAAUUCCUGCCCACAGACACUCCUUCUCACUUCAGACUCACAUCCCCACUUAAAAGGAGAAAAAUCAUAAAAGGAGGGUGGGGGAUGACCAUACCAAAAGGGAAUAAAAAGAGAGAAAAGGGGAAAAAAACCUACCUGCGAAGUCUUGUUUGUAGUUUUGGCCAGAAAUGGUGAGAAGAAAAAGCAUGAAGAAGCCGCGAAGUGUGGGGGAGAAAAAGGUGGAAGCGAAGAAACAGCUCCCGGAGCAAACUGUACAAAACCUCGCCAAGAGUGUCGGGAGGCAGGACCGUUAUUCCUGCGGAGCAGGUUAGAACUGAUCUCUUUCGGCCACUCCAGGAAACACAAACCUGGGGACGGACUGACGUGUUACGCCUCUUCUAAUGACAUUUUUUUCUUUUUCUUUUCUGUAGGAGAGAGAGGAGAGACCCUGAAACACGCGCCACCUAUCUUUGUGGGGAGGGAUAAUUGAAGCGCCCUGAGCGUGAGCAUCAUGUGAAAACGUGAUCGCCAAGUUUCUCUCUGGGAAAGGAUCUGGGAUAGAUUAUACCUUGAAGUCUCCGCAAACGCUUUAGUGGAAGAAAUGAAAUUCCACCUCCCUCCCUUCCUCUCUCCCUCCCUCUCGCCUCCCUCCCUCCCUCCCUCCCUCUCUUCUCCACGCCCCCCCCNCCCCCCCCCCCCCCCCCCCCCCCCCCCCCCCCGUCAAGCCUUUGGCAUCAUUAUCCUCAUCACUAAAUCCUACAGAGUACAGGGCGGAAAACGGUGCACACCAUUCACAGAACUGGAGAACUCUAAGGGGCGAAAGUUAAAGGGAAAGAUCCCGGGUCCUUAAUCCAGAUCGCCUCUUCUUAUACAGAUAUUUCUAAUGGCCAGACUUGAGAUGCACAUUAAGUUGUGUGGAUUUCUCAGCACGUCUUCUGGAACUAAAUUCUUUGCCCUUUUUCUUCUUUUAUUUUAUUUUAUUUUUCUUUUUGGAUGGCAGAGCCAGAAAAAAAAAUGCUGCAUGUGAACUACAUCUUAGGGUGUGUGUGCUGGGGUGUGUGUAUGAUGAAUUUCUGGAUUGGAUCUCAAUGGUAAAAAGUAGUUUGGCAUUUUUAAAAAGGGUCUCUAAGUAAAUUAACAUAGAGCGCUGGGUUGACUGAUCUCUGAAUCUCUCUACAUCUCACGGAGACCUCACUACAAAGUGAGGGAGUGUGUGUAGGAGGAAAAGGAGAAAGGCCAUAGAGGGACUUAGCAGGGAAGGAAGAGUAUGAUAUUAAACGGCAUGGGGUCUAAGUUUUGGAGUAUAUAUUUUUCUGAUAUUGCAAUUAAAGUAAAAUUAAAAAGAAAAGACUCCACCUUUGCUCUGAAGGGAUUGGUUAUGUAAAUAUGGAAGGGAUUUCCUGGAGAAUACAGCUUUCUACUGUAUGGUUAAUUAAAUAAUCACUCAAAAGCUUCCAACGUGACGCUUCUGUCGUAAUCCAAUCAGGUUACAUAGGUCCUAAACAAGAAAGAUAUUUUCCACAUCUGGAAGUCAGCAAUUUAGCAAGUACUGCACAUUAUUAACCGAUUCAGAGCCCACUUCCCAGGGGAAUUUUUUUUGAAGUUUAAGUGUUCUUAACCAAUGCUCUGCUGUUUUGUUAAUCAAAAAGCUGGUUUACACUGCACGUAAUUGGAACUAAUAUAGAAGUAAAUAAAGACAGCCAAAUUUGAGGAUGCUGAGCACA
This 3431-nucleotide long non-coding RNA is filed under the name Lynx pardinus (Iberian lynx). The stretch from base 354 to 481 matches the Rfam family "ZEB2 antisense RNA 1 conserved region 1". Lineage: Eukaryota; Metazoa; Chordata; Mammalia; Carnivora; Felidae. The record is from RNAcentral.